RNAcentral lists this long non-coding RNA (5172 nucleotides) under Sus scrofa (pig). RNAcentral's name for it is "lncRNA (ENSSSCG00000055637.1)". The record is from RNAcentral. Lineage: Eukaryota; Metazoa; Chordata; Mammalia; Artiodactyla; Suidae.
ACUCUGUGGAAAAAGGCACACCAGUAAGAACAUUCAUCCUCCAAGUUGUUUAAACAGAUGGCUUCUUUUUGAAAGAAGAACAUAUUGUAAAAGAAAUUAAAUGGGAUUGAUCUCCAGUUGAUCCUCAUGGUAUGGGGGAAAUGGUGUUUUGGGCAGACUAUUUCAUGUGAUUAGAUGGGCAAUUUUCCACUUGUCUAAGACAGGAUUUGGGGGAUACCCCGGUAUAGGUGUUUGGUACUCACUCAUCUGAAAGAGACUUGUGCAUAUACUGUGAAAAUUCUCUUUGGAGCUAAAGAAAGGAAAGAAAUAUGAAUUAAAUACUACUCUUUCUUAGAAGUCAUUCAUGACCUCAGAUCCCCCCAGGUGGACCUACCUAUCUCUCUUUCUUCUUGAGUUCUUAGCUCUCACACAGGCACAAAGCAGGACAUACCAAGAUGGAAUUCUGAAUUGCAAUCAUAAUGUAAAAAUGUUGAGUUUUAAUCUUUUUUUUAUUUACCUAAAAUACAGGGUCAGCAAACUCUUUGAGGCGCCUUUUGUGACUAACACCUACCCUCUACUCAGCAAUCCAACUCACUUUCCAUGAGGGCAGAGGCAGGAGUACAGUGGGUCUGAGGGAUGGAAUGAAGUGGUCUGUUUUAUACUUACCUAGUAUUGUUUCUCAAUGUGAAAUGUCAGUAGUACAGUUUCUUAUUUUAAAGCAUAUUUUACAAUAUAGAAAAUUGCAUCUCACAUAUAUGCAGUGUAAAGAAUACUAUUACUCCUACUCUGGGUACCCAUCCCCAAGUGUUAAGUAAGAGAACUUUACCAGCCUAUUGAAAUUUCCCAUUUCUAUCGAUCAAUCUCUCUCUCUUCAUUCAUUUCUUAUUCAAAAACAUUUAUACAAAUGAGUACUAUGUAUCAAACACUGUCUAGGUACUGCAAAACAGUACAACAAAACACAGACAAAAAGCCCUGACUCUUGGAACUUACAUUUUAUAAAGGGAAACCUCUACUUAAAAUUUGGGUUGAUCUUUCCCUUUUCUACAUAAAUACAUAUAUCUCCAAGCAAGAUAUUAGUUUACUGUCGUACUCUCAAAUGUUCUUCUAUGCCUUGCUUUUUUCAUUUAAUAUAUUUAUGCAUGGAAUGCUAGAUCAUCCAUUUUCACUGUGACUGGACUUUUAUUAUGUACACACUUCACAGCAUAUCUGUUUUCUUGUUCAUGGAUAUCUUGAACUUGGGAUUAUCUUUAGUUUGGGGGGGUUGUUUUUUUGUUUGUUUGUUUUCUCUAUUACAAACUGUGUUACUAGGAAAUGGUACCAAACAGCACAUUUUUCUGUCUGGAUUCUUUUGUUUAACAUUAUGUUUGUGAGACACAUUUCUGUUGUGCCCAGUAAUUACUCAUUACUGUUCAUUAUUGUAUAGCUUGUAUAGUUAUGUAUAUAUCUAAUUUAAAAUUAUUUAUUUCAACAUUUGAGUUUUUCCAGUAUUUAUUUAAUGCCAUAUUUUUUAUUUUUUUACUAGAUUAUAAUUGAUUUACAAUGUUGUGUUAAUUUAUGAUGUACAGAAAAAUUACUCAGUCAUACAUAGACAUACAUUCCUUCUCUUAUAUUAUCUUUCAUCAUGGUCUGUCCCAAGAGACUGGAUAUAGCUCCCCAUGCAAUACAGAAGAACCUCAUUGCUUAUCCAUUCUAAAUGUAAUAGUUUGCAUCUACUAACCCAAACUCCCAGUCCAUCCUACUCCUUCCCGCCUCCCGCUUGGCAACCACAAGUCUGGUCUCCUUGUCCAUGAGUCUGUUUCUGUUUUGUAUAUAGGUUCAUUUAUGCCAUAUUUUAGGUUCCACAUAUAAGUGAUAUCAUGUGUAUUUCUCUUUCUGACUUACUUCACUUAGUAUGAUAAUCUUUAGUUGCGUCCAUGUUACUGCUAAUGGCAUUAUUUCAUUCUUUUUUAUGGCUGAGUAAUAUUUCAUUGUAUAUAUGUACCACAUCUCCUUAAUCCAUUCAUCUAUCAAUGGACAUUUAGAUUGCUUCUAUGUCUUGGCUAUGGUGAAUGGUGCUUCAGUGAACAUAGGGGUAUAUGUUUUUAAAUUAUAGUUUUGCAUGGCUAUACCCCAGGAGUGGGAUUGCUGGGUCAUAUAAAUAGUCCCUAAAUAGUUGAGAAGUUUUUACUGUAUUAAUAUUGUCAAUGUUUUCAAAGAGAUUUUUAUUUUGUUGAGCUUGUCUACUUAUUCUCAAAGGAAAAUUUGUCUAAAAUUAGCUAGUAUGCUAUUACAAGAAAGAGUACCAGUUAUUUUAUUGGAUUUUAAUUUGUAUUUUCUAUAUUUCAGAACUGUUUUCUGUCAUGGUUGUACCAGUUUACAUUCCCACCACAGCAUAGUAGGGUUCCCUUUUCUCCACACCCUCUCCAGCAUGUGUUAUUUGUAGACAUAUUAAUGAUGGCCAUUCUGACCAGUAUUUAAUUGUAGUUUUGAUGUUCAUUAUUCCAAUAACUACAGAUAUUGAGCAUCUUUUCAUAUGCUUACUGGUCAUCCAUAUAUCUUUGGAGAAAUGUCUAUUUAGGUCUUCUGCCCAAUUUUUAAUUGGGUUGUAUGAGUUUAAUGAGUUGAAUAAGUUUAAUGCCAUGUUUAUAUAUCUGAGUCUAAAGCUAUAUGUAAGUCCAGUUGUAACAGAUAUAGUCAAAUAAUUAUCCAAAGGGAUAAUACAAUUUGCUCUCCCAUUGCAAAGUAUGAGAGUAACCAUAGUGAUGGCUGUGUAUCACAUUGUGCUUUUAUUUUUCUUUUAUUUAAUGCUUAUUGAAGGUGAGCACUUUUAUAAAAGUUCAUUUGUUGUUCAACAUAUUUUGUGAAGUACCAGUCCAACACUUUUAUCCACUUUAUUAUGUUGAAUUGUCUGGCUAUUUCCUAUUGAUUUGAAAAAAAUAUAUAACACAGAAGUAUUCUCAAACACAUAAAAGUUAGGACAAAUGGGAUGCCAUUAAAUAGAAGUGGUAAUAACAGGCACAUUUGUCUUAUUCCCAGUCUGAAGUAAAAUUCAACAUUUCACUUACAUAUGACAUUAUUGAAGGUUUCAAAAUUUAUUUUCAGAAUAAGGAAGUUCCCCCUUGAUAAGUAGUUUAUUAUAUUUUAUCACAAAAGCAUGUAGAAUUUAUUAAGUGCUUUCUCUGCAACUAAUGAGAUAUACAUUUUCUCCUCCAUGCUCUUGAUCUGUUGAGUUGUAUUGAUUGAUUUUUUGAAUAUUAAUCCUAACCAUACAUUCCUGGAAUAAUUUCAGCUUUAUUGUAGAUAUGCUAGAUUCAGUGUUCUAAUACUUUGCUUAGAAUUUUUAAAAUAUAUUUUCAUGGGAAAGGUUGACUUGUAGGUUUACUUUCUUGGAAUAUCCUUGUAAGUUUUUGGUAUUAAGAUGAUUCUGGCUUCUCUUCAUCUGUACCUAACUUCUGUUAAGCCCAGUGAUUGGGUUCUUAAUCUCAGUUAAUUGUAUUUUUUUAAUUCUAAAGUUUCCAGUUGAUCCCACUGUAUAAUAUCCAGUUCUCCAUCAAUAUUCCUUCUCAUUAAUUAAUAUUUUAAUAUAUUUACCUUUAUUAUUUUAAUAUUCAUGUCUGAUAACAAAAAUAUCCGAUAUUCUAGGGGUCUGUUUUUACUAUUUACUCUUUUCUCUUAUGUAGAAGUCAAUUCUUAUCUUUUUGUGUUUCUCCCUGUUUCUGAGUGCUGAACAUUGGCUUUGAAAAGCUAUAGAAAUAAUUUGAAGUUCUGAACCAUUCAUUCCUUUCAUAUCAACAAAUUCCUUAAGGAGAAACGCAGUUCAGAUUUCAGGCUCACUUCUUUGGGAUUUCACUCCCUUUCCAACCCUAGUGUUGCAAGUUUUUACCGUAUUGAUAUUGUCAAUGUUUUUAAAGAGAUUUUUAUUUUGUUGAGCUUGUCUAGUUAUUCUCAGAAGGAGAAUUUGUUUAAAAUUAACUAGUAUACUAUUAACAGAGGAGCACCAGUUAUAUUAUUGGAUUUUAAUUUGUAUUUUCUAUAUUUCAGUUGAGUUGAGCUUUUCUUACUAGGCUUAUCAGCCACUAGCAUUUUUACUUAUGCAAGUUUCUAUUUAAAUAUUAGUUUCUUUUUAUUUUUAAGUUUUUUUUAGAGUUGAUUUACCAUUCUGCCAAUUUCUGCUGUCUAGAAAAGUGGCCUAGCCGUACACCUAUACACAUUCUUUCUCAUAUUUGUUUCUUUUUAUUUAUCUGUAUAAACUAUGUGUACCAUCAUAUAGGUUUUGUUUUCAUUGUGUAUAUGUUAAAUCUUUCUCUCUAGUUAUAGUUUUUUACUCUUUAAUUAUUUAUUUUGAUAGACUUAUGUAUGUUAAAUGUAGUCAUAUUCAUCGAGGUUUUCUCUUUGAGCUUUUAAUCUAAUUUAAGAAGACUUCCCUGUCUCUGAUGUCAUAAAGAUAUUCUUCUAUAUUUAUCUCUAGUCAUUAAAAAUUUUUUCUUUUAACUUUUGUUUUAAUCCAUUAGGUCAAGAUCCAUUUUCAUUUAUUUCCAUAUGGUUAAGAAGUUAUCCCAGAAUCAUUUACUGAAAUCAACAACUGACUCCAUUUGAAAAGCAUCUUAAUUUCAGGACGAUGUUGUUUCAGUGAACUAUGCUCCAAGUAUUGGAGGUCCCCAUCACCUUAGUGUUCAUUUCCUGUGUCCCCAAAGAAAGACCUCUUUUAAAACUCAUCUUCCCUCAAAUAGCCCUUGCUUUAAUUUUAGCUUUUCUCUCCUCAUUGUAUAAUCACUUGCCAAUCUGUGUCUCAUAGGUUGUUUGCUAUUUUAAAAUCCCCAAAGUGCAAAAAUAAUGCAAAUGGAAUGCAAAAUAAAACAAAUACUACAAAAUAUAUGGGCUCUUACCAACUGAGCAGAAUUGCUCUUAUUGUCCCAAAGGCAAUGAGAUAUAACAAAAGAAAGGAAUAUAAACAAGCAUGAUGACAUUAUAGAUGUCUCAAAAGAGAAGGGCUGGAGUUCCUGUCGUGGCACAGUGGUUAACGAAUCCAACUAGGAACCAUGAGGUUGUGGGUUCGUCCCUGCCCUUGCUCAGUAGGUUAACGAUCCAGCGUUGCCGUGAGCUGUGGUGUAGGUUGCAGACGCGGCUCGGAUCCUGCGUUGCUGUGGCUCUGACGUUGGCCGGUGGCUACAGCUCCGAUUCGACCCCUAGCCUGGGAACCUCCAUAUGCCGCGG